GAUGAACGCUGGCGGCGUGCUUAACACAUGCAAGUCGAACGAUUAAGACCCCUUCGGGGGUGUAUAGAGUGGCGAACGGGUGAGUAACACGUGGGCAACCUGCCCCUUCCUCUGGGAUAACACGGAGAAAUCCGUGCUAAUACCGGAUACUCCCUGUCUGCGGCAUCGCGGAUACGGGAAAGCUCCGACGGGAAGGGAGGGGCCCGCGGUCCAUCGGCGAGUGGUGGGGGGAACGGCCUACCGAGGGGACGGUGGAUAGCCGGGUUGAGAGACCGACCGGCCACAUUGGGACUGAGACACGGCCCAGACUCCUACGGGAGGCAGCAGUGGGGAAUUUUGCGCAAUGGGGGAAACCCUGACGCAGCAACGCCGCGUGCGGGAUGAAGGCCUUCGGGUUGUAAGCCGCUUUCAGCAGGGAAGAAUACAGACGGUACCUGCAGAAGAAGCUCCGGCUAACUACGUGCCAGCCGCCGCCGUAA
RNAcentral lists this ribosomal RNA (479 nucleotides) under uncultured bacterium. RNAcentral's name for it is "partial 16S ribosomal RNA". It matches the Rfam family "Bacterial small subunit ribosomal RNA", at positions 28 to 523 of the family's 1533-position model. The record is from RNAcentral.